GAUUUGAGGUUUUUCCUUGGCCUUUAUAUGGUGAAUAUUUGACAUCGUGCUUGUAAUUAUCUAUUUCAUUAUCGAGCUUUCUUUCAUUAUUAUCGAUAGUACUCUUGCUGGGAGACAAGGACGUUUCGUGGUUCUUUGAGGGACUGUUACAGAUGUUGAUAAGUUGUUUCAAGUAACGAGUUUGGGUAUCGCUUUCUUUUUCUUCAUUUAAAAAUUCCCUGUGGUUAAUUUUUGGAGGUGAAAUAAGCUGAUUAUCCUUUGAAGGGUUUGAGUGAGUAGAAAAGUCAGCUACUAGCGAUUUUAAGGGCGACAGAGGUUUCAAUGCUGAAGAAAAGACAUCACUGGAUAUAAGAUUAUUUUGAAAUGUUGAUUUUUCUUUCUUUGUCGAAAAAGGAGCAGCAGGGAAAAUUAAAAGAGGUUCAACAGCUGAAAGAGAAAGUUUGUAAGCCAUUAUCAGCAGUGUUAAAUGUAUAUCAAGUAUGAAAUGUACAAAAUCCAAGAAAUAUGAAAUAAAAAAAAAGAAACAGUUAGGCCUUUAAUAAAACGAAGGUUAGAGUACCGCGCAUGGAAUUUGAAC
Molecule: non-coding RNA, 577 nt
Organism: Schizosaccharomyces pombe (fission yeast)
Lineage: Eukaryota; Fungi; Ascomycota; Schizosaccharomycetes; Schizosaccharomycetales; Schizosaccharomycetaceae
Source: the annotation of a GenBank genome assembly